RNAcentral lists this small nucleolar RNA (76 nucleotides) under Melopsittacus undulatus (budgerigar). Its description in RNAcentral is "Small nucleolar RNA SNORD19 (ENSMUNG00000007777.2)". It matches the Rfam family "Small nucleolar RNA SNORD19". Rfam says of the family: Homo sapiens C/D box snoRNA HBII-108: This snoRNA is the human orthologue of the mouse MBII-108 and is predicted to guide 2'O-ribose methylation of the small 18S rRNA on position G683. snoRNA HBII-108 is encoded in a nucleostemin (NS) gene intron like the HBII-210 Lineage: Eukaryota; Metazoa; Chordata; Aves; Psittaciformes; Psittaculidae. The record is from Rfam by way of RNAcentral.
GAAAAAUGAAGAUAUUCUGACUCUUUCCUAUUAUUACAAUGAAGACUUCAGAUCCAACUCUGAUUUCACUCCAGUU